GAUCUCCUUCGGGAGUGACGCUUGUGGAACGAGCGGCGGACGGGUGAGUAACACGUGGGCAACCUACCUGUAAGACUGGGAUAACUCCGGGAAACCGGGGCUAAUACCGGAUGAAACAAAGCGUCGCAUGACGCAAUGUUAAAAGGCGGCAUAUGCUGUCACUUACAGAUGGGCCCGCGGCGCAUUAGCUAGUUGGUGAGGUAAAGGCUCACCAAGGCAACGAUGCGUAGCCGACCUGAGAGGGUGAUCGGCCACACUGGGACUGAGACACGGCCCAGACUCCUACGGGAGGCAGCAGUAGGGAAUCUUCCGCAAUGGACGAAAGUCUGACGGAGCAACGCCGCGUGAGUGAUGAAGGUUUUCGGAUCGUAAAACUCUGUUGUUAGGGAAGAACAAGUGCCAUUCAAAUAGGUUGGCACCUUGACGGUACCUAACCAGAAAGCCCCGGCUAACUACGUGCCAGCAGCCGCGGUAAUACGUAGGGGGCAAGCGUUGUCCGGAAUUAUUGGGCGUAAAGC
RNAcentral lists this ribosomal RNA (518 nucleotides) under marine sediment bacterium BB0608_AND_7.2_2G0. Its description in RNAcentral is "bacterial SSU rRNA". It matches the Rfam family "Bacterial small subunit ribosomal RNA", at positions 72 to 566 of the family's 1533-position model. The record is from RNAcentral.